GUAGAACGUCUUCCUGGCCUCUGUAUCUCUGGGCAGAGAGGAACUCUGCAACUUCCUGGCAAAAUAGUUGCCUUUUCCUUUCCCACAGCACUUCCAGCCUGGCCUCUACCCUGCAUUUGGAGGCUAUCAGGACUAAUCUCAGGGUCUCACUCUGUUGCCCAGGAUAGAGUGCAGUGGCAUGGUCACAGAUCACCGCAGCUUCAACCUCCCAGGCUCAAGCAAUCUUUCCACAUCAGCCUCCUGAGUAGCUGGAAAUACAGGCAUGCACAAUUAUGCCUGGCUAUUUUUUAUAUUAUUUUUUUUGUAGAGACAGAGUCUUGCUGUGUUGCCCAGGCUGUUCUCAGUCUCCAAUUCUUGAGCUCAAGUGACCCUUCAGCCUCUGCCCCUCGAAGUGAUGGAAUUACAGGUGCGAGCCACUGUGCUUUACCUAAAACAACUAUGUUUAAUAUUUGUUUUUAAAAUUUGCAAACUCUGGGGUUCUUUUGUUUUAGAUUUAUAUAUAUUCUUUUUCAACUUGUAUUUUAGGUUUGGGGGUGUAUGUGCAAUUUUUUUAGGGUAAGUUGCAUGGUGCUGGGAUUUGGUGUACAAAUGAUUUCGAUACUCAGAGAGCUUAGUACUAGAUAGGUAGUUUUCAACCCUCACCCUCAUCCCAACCUCCACCCUAAAGUAGGUCCUGGUAUCUAUUGUUCCUUUCUUUGUAUCCAUGUGUACUCGAUCUUUAGCUCCCACUUAGAAGUGAUAACAUACAGUAUUUGCUUUGCUGUUCUGGUGUUAAUUUGCUUAGGAUAAUGACCUCCAGCUCUAUCCAUGUUUCUGCAAAAGAAAUGAUCUCAUUCUUUCUUAUGGCUGCAUAGCAUUAAAUGGUGUAUUUGUACCAUAGUUUCUUUAUCCAGUCCACUGUUGAUAGGCAUCUUGUUUGAUUUCAUGCCUUCACUAUUGUGAAUGGUGUUGUGAUAAACAUACACAUGCAUGUGUCUUUUUAGUAGAACAAUUUGUAUUCUUUUGGGUAUAUACCCACCGAUGGGAUUGCUGGGUUAAAUGGUAGUCUGUUUUAAGUGCUUUGAGAAACCUCCAAACCAUUUUCCACAGUGGCUAAACUAACAUACAUUCCCACGGACCUUGUCUAAGCAUUCCAUUUUCUCCAUAAUCUCCCCAACAUCUAUUAUUUUCUGCCUUUUAUAUAAUGGCC
RNAcentral lists this long non-coding RNA (1189 nucleotides) under Papio anubis (olive baboon). RNAcentral's name for it is "lncRNA (ENSPANG00000045974.1)". The record is from RNAcentral. Lineage: Eukaryota; Metazoa; Chordata; Mammalia; Primates; Cercopithecidae.